This is a long non-coding RNA of Artibeus jamaicensis (Jamaican fruit-eating bat), 784 nucleotides long. RefSeq lists it as uncharacterized. Lineage: Eukaryota; Metazoa; Chordata; Mammalia; Chiroptera; Phyllostomidae. The transcript is spliced from 3 exons. The record is from RefSeq and is a predicted model, not a curated record.
GGUUUCAAAGCGGCGCCCUCCGACCACGGGGCUGAUUGGGUCCCUGGGGCAGGUGCAGGUGGGUGGGCUCCAGCUCACUUGUUGGUCCUGACUUUACCAUUAAGCGGAUACUGAAAAGGCAAGUCAUGUCACCUCUCCACAUGUUAAUUUUUCCGUGUCUGAAAAGGCUGCAGUGAAACCAUCUGGGACAGGAUAUCCAUAUGCAAGCCUCCAGAGUCCGUGCAACCAUGAGCCAACCUGAGGAAUCAGCAGUGAGGAUACUAGCCCUGGCCAGAGAUUUGAACACGUGAGGGCGAUACAGAGAAUCUGGGGACAGAAGCUGUGUUGGAGGUGUCACCUGGGUGAGAAAAAACGUGGGACUGAGAAACACCUCUGCUUCCUGGUCACCCGCUGAGGGGUCCGAGGAGUUACAGCAACAUUCUUUGACUGCAUCUCCCAUCCUCUCAACAUCGCUCCUCAGGUUAUGUCGUCUUAUUAGUGAAUGAAAAUGGAAAUCAAAGGUGAUUUGUUGGGGGGGGAGGGUUUUCAUAACUUCUAAAAAUUGUGCCAAGCCCUGGCUGGUGUGGCUCAGUGGGUUGGGCAUCAUCCCACAAAUCGAAAGGUCACCAGUUCAAUUCCCGGCCAGGGGCAUGUGCCUAGGUUGCGGGUUCAGUCUCUAGUGGAGACACAUAUGCAAGGCAAGCUGUCGAUGCUUCUUUCUCACAUCGAUGUUUCUCUGCACUCUUUCACCCUCCCUCCCCUAUCUCCAAAAAUAAGUAAAUAAAGAUUAAGUAAAUAAAGAUAA